GCAAUAGAGAAUAGGACGGGAACAAAGGGAAACGAUAAUACAUUGCCUCCAUAAUAUGAGGCACCCAUAAAAUAAGCAAUAUGUCAAGAGGUACGAUGAAAAGAAAGAUAAUGAAGAUGGUGCUAGUCAGAAAAAGAGAGGGGAGUACAUAUACCAAUAGCUCAGAAAGACAUAUCCUCAUAUUAUGAGAUAGUGAGAAGCUAGGAGGAAUCUCUAAUGAAAUCUUCUCUCUGGUCAUCAUGACUGUG
Molecule: long non-coding RNA, 248 nt
Filed under: Lathyrus oleraceus (garden pea)
Lineage: Eukaryota; Viridiplantae; Streptophyta; Magnoliopsida; Fabales; Fabaceae
Description: Pisum sativum (pea) long non-coding RNA (PSAT_LNC022935)
Source: RNAcentral